This 45-nucleotide non-coding RNA is filed under the name Schistosoma mansoni. Lineage: Eukaryota; Metazoa; Platyhelminthes; Trematoda; Strigeidida; Schistosomatidae. The record is from RNAcentral.
ACCUAGCUGACGAGUCCCGAACAGGACGAAACGUGAGUCCUGGAU